UAACUCGGAUUUUCGCUAACUCGGAUCGGCCGCAGUCUCGAUUAAUCCGACUUAUCGAGGUUCCACUGUAUUCAAAUAUAUGGCCGGAGCAAAUUUACCUAUGCCCGUUUUCUGUAAGGUAUUAAAAUCUGGCCGCCGGAGCGAACUAGAAUAUGCCCAUGAGUAACUAUCUUAAAAAAUUUAAAUACAAUAAUUUAGGAUUUUUGUUGUUUUUUGUUGAAUUAAAGAUACCGUUUAAUAAUACUGACUAUUUAAAACAUCCUUAUAAAUAAAAUGAGAAUGGGUCACGCUUGACCCAUCUUCGUAAUCUAAGGCCCGGUCUUUUCACCUCCGAAUAAAUAUGCUCUUAUCUGGCAGUUAGCUAUCUGGAGGAUAAAUAUUUAUUCGCCAGAUAAAAUGUACCCGUCUUUUCACGUCAAUUUAUGUUCCAGUUAGUUAUCCGGUAGAUAAGCUUAAAAGUAAGUUUGGAUUCGGAACACACCUGAUUUUUGUGUUUAUUUUUAUAAUUUCAGCUUUAACUUAACCUAACAUAAUUAGAUUCACAUAAUCAAGACCAAGAUGAUUUUCUCGAUUUUAUUUCCAUUUUGGAAGAAGGAAAUAAAGAAAACAUUGAUUAUGGUGAAAAAGUUUACUGGAGAACUUGAACAAGAGGUAAAUAAAUUUUAAAUUAGUGGAAAACUGUUGAUUUUUAUGUAAAGAAGACAAAGACAAGUUUAAAUAAAGACAAGCUAGCUAAUGAAACAGAUGCAGUGUUACAGAUAUGACAAACAUCUAGAAGAUUCAAUCCUGCGUUCUUAAAGAAAAAAGCUAGUUCCAGUAGUAAGCUACCAAUAAAAAACUAGAGAAUGUAUUACAAGAAAGAACAACGCUAAUACUAAACAUACCUCAAUUGCUUCAGAUAGAAAAAGAGGACGAAAAGGUACAACACAAGCGUGCUAGAGAAAAUGAAAGGGCAGAAGAGAGACACAAAAAUUCAUUGAUUUAUUAAAUUUAAAAAUUAAAUUAUACAAAGGACAAUUAAAUAAAGAAUAAAAAAAUGAUA
This is a long non-coding RNA of Diabrotica virgifera virgifera (western corn rootworm), 1042 nucleotides long. RefSeq lists it as uncharacterized. The record is from RefSeq and is a predicted model, not a curated record. The transcript has 3 exons. NCBI's taxonomy places the organism in Eukaryota, Metazoa, Arthropoda, Insecta, Coleoptera, Chrysomelidae.